GAGACCCCAGGUCAAGCGGGAUUACCCGCUGAGUUUAAGCAUAUCA
RNAcentral lists this ribosomal RNA (46 nucleotides) under Embelia floribunda. RNAcentral's name for it is "partial 28S ribosomal RNA". Lineage: Eukaryota; Viridiplantae; Streptophyta; Magnoliopsida; Ericales; Primulaceae. The record is from RNAcentral.